Molecule: ribosomal RNA, 253 nt
Filed under: [Ruminococcus] lactaris ATCC 29176
Lineage: Bacteria; Bacillati; Bacillota; Clostridia; Lachnospirales; Lachnospiraceae
Description: partial 16S ribosomal RNA
Rfam family: Bacterial small subunit ribosomal RNA
Source: RNAcentral
UACGUAGGGGGCAAGCGUUAUCCGGAUUUACUGGGUGUAAAGGGAGCGUAGACGGAGCAGCAAGUCUGAUGUGAAAACCCGGGGCUCAACCCCGGGACUGUAUUGGAAACUGUUGAUCUGGAGUGCCGGAGAGGUAAGCGGAAUUCCUAGUGUAGCGGUGAAAUGCGUAGAUAUUAGGAGGAACACCAGUGGCGAAGGCGGCUUACUGGACGGUAACUGACGUUGAGGCUCGAAAGCGUGGGGAGCAAACAGG